RNAcentral lists this ribosomal RNA (497 nucleotides) under uncultured bacterium. Its description in RNAcentral is "partial 16S ribosomal RNA". It matches the Rfam family "Bacterial small subunit ribosomal RNA", at positions 28 to 507 of the family's 1533-position model. The record is from RNAcentral.
GAUGAACGCUGGCGGCGUGCCUAAUACGUGCAAGUCGAGCGAACGGACGAGAAGCUUGCUUCUCUGAUGUUAGCGGCGGACGGGUGAGUAACACGUGGAUAACCUACCUAUAAGACUGGGAUAACUUCGGGAAACCGUAGCUAAUACCGGAUAAUAUUUUGAACCGCAUGGUUCAAAAGUGAAAGACGGUCUUGCUGUCACUUAUAGAUGGAUCCGCGCUGCAUUAGCUAGUUGGUAAGGUAACGGCUUACCAAGGCAACGAUGCAUAGCCGACCUGAGAGGGUGAUCGGCCACACUGGAACUGAGACACGGUCCAGACUCCUACGGGAGGCAGCAGUAGGGAAUCUUCCGCAAAGGGCGAAAGCCUGACGGAGCAACGCCGCGUGAGUGAUGAAGGUCUUCGGAUCGUAAAACUCUGUUAUUAGGGAAGAACAUAUGUGUAAGUAACUGUGCACAUCUUGACGGUACCUAAUCAGAAAGCCACGGCUAACUACGUG